AGGACACAAUCCCAGUCCGAUGUUUGGAAAGCAGAAAUGGGAGUGGGGUCAGAUUUGUCCCAUUGGUCAUUUUAUCCCAAACAAAGGGGAUAGAUCUAACCCAUCUAGAGACUGGGUCACUUUUGUUGUCCGAGCGAGCUCUCUUCGAAGCAUCACUCGCCAUCCCCUUCGAAGCAUCUCCGAUCUCGAAUCUCCAAGCUGAUCGAAGCAUUUCCAAGCUGACGAUCCCCUUCGAAGCAUCUCUGGCUGGGCUUGAUUUGAUAUUCAGGAGGAAGAAAGCUUGAUUUUAGAGGCUUAAACUAGAUCUAAAGCAUCGGGUGUGGAAGGGUGUUGAUCCAAGUAUUAGAGCUGAAGUGUGGCCGUUUCUCCUUGGAGUGUAAGCACUUCCAACCUUGAGAAGUUAAUAUAUUUUGUUAUUGCAUAUCAGAUUUCAAUGUAUUAUUAUACAACCAAUUUAUUUUGUGGAGACUAUGUCUCUGUGAAGUUCUUCUUUUUUACAUAAUGUAAUGAAUUCCACAAGUUAGUCAAGUCCCAUGGAUUGAAUUACUUAAUCCAUGGCAUUGUGGAGGUUGAGUUCUAUUUUUAAUGAAAUACUCAACCCUCAUUUAUUUUUUUAA
This is a long non-coding RNA of Ziziphus jujuba (common jujube), 617 nucleotides long. RefSeq lists it as uncharacterized. The record is from RefSeq and is a predicted model, not a curated record. NCBI's taxonomy places the organism in Eukaryota, Viridiplantae, Streptophyta, Magnoliopsida, Rosales, Rhamnaceae. The transcript has 3 exons.